GAUGAAGAACGUAGCGAAAUGCGAUAAGUAAUGUGAAUUGCAGAAUUCAGUGAAUCAUCGAAUCUUUGAACGCACAUUGCGCCCGCCAGUAUUCUGGCGGGCAUGCCUGUCCGAGCGUCAUUUCAACCAUCAAGCCCCGGGCUUGUGUUGGGGACCUGCGUCCGACGCAGGCCCUGAAAACCAGUGGCGGGCUCGCUGUCCACACCGAGCGUAGUAACUAACCUCGCUAUGGAGUGGCGCGGGCGCCUGCCGUAAAACCCCCAAUUUCACAAGGUUGACCUCGGAUCAGGUAGGAAUACCCGCUGAACUUAAGCAUAUCAUUAAGCGGAGGA
RNAcentral lists this unclassified non-coding RNA (332 nucleotides) under soil metagenome. RNAcentral describes it as "partial contains 5.8S ribosomal RNA, internal transcribed spacer 2, and large subunit ribosomal RNA". The stretch from base 1 to 120 matches the Rfam family "5.8S ribosomal RNA", at positions 35 to 154 of the family's 154-position model. The record is from RNAcentral.